RNAcentral lists this ribosomal RNA (789 nucleotides) under Macrobrachium nipponense. RNAcentral describes it as "eukaryotic LSU rRNA". It matches the Rfam family "Eukaryotic large subunit ribosomal RNA", at positions 45 to 664 of the family's 3401-position model. Lineage: Eukaryota; Metazoa; Arthropoda; Malacostraca; Decapoda; Palaemonidae. The record is from RNAcentral.
AUAUAGCGGAGGCCUGAACCAACCGGGAUUCCCUGAGUAAGGGCGACUGAAAGGGGAUGAGCCCAGCGCAUAACCUUGCGGUCGUUUUUUGGCCGUCGAGGGGUGUUGCGUUUCGGUGGAUCCGUACCGCUCGAAUUGCUGACCGCCUAAGUCAUUGCUUGAAUGCAGCCCCAAGGAGGGUGGUAGGCCCGUGUGGCGGCGCCUGUAAAAAGGUUUGGAAGCAAUUUGGGCGGAGGGAUGUUUACCGUAGAGUCGGGUUGCUUAGUACUGCAGCCCUAAGUAGGUGGUAAACUCCAUCUAAGGCUAAAUACUACCACGAGUCCGAUAUUUGACAAGUACCGUGAGGGAAAGCUGAAAAGGACUCUGAAGAGAGAGUUCAAGAGGACGUGAAACCAUUAGAAGCUGAAACGGGUGGAACCGUGAAGGUGGAAAGAGGGGAUUCAGGCUGUUGGCAGAGGCUAUUGGCUGCGGGUAAUGUUGAGAGAUAUGGACCCGGCGUACGAGUGAGUUGUCCGGGCACCCGUGGCCUUUUUGUCUUUGUGAGCAGGCUUAGUUCUCCCUCGAGUACGAGACGUGGCGACCCGCUGUUGGGACCCCGAGGGCCCUGAAGGACUGGUAGCCUAGACCUUCGGUUUGGGUGAUGACCUUUAUGGGUACUGAGUGGGUUUGAACGGCGGUCACUGUGAGGAAGUAGCGGUGGGUGCAGCUUAUGGCUGCAUCGACUUGCUUCUCGCAUGUGAAGAGGUAUCGGUAAUCCCCCCACCUCUUUUUAAAACACACGAGACAAAA